RNAcentral lists this long non-coding RNA (1497 nucleotides) under Bemisia tabaci. RNAcentral's name for it is "lncRNA ENSSSA1UGG009149". The record is from RNAcentral. Lineage: Eukaryota; Metazoa; Arthropoda; Insecta; Hemiptera; Aleyrodidae.
AUGAAAGGAGCUCCGGGGUUGCCACUUCUCGCAGCCGCAAUGGCACUCUGGCACGUGGGACAGGCGUGCACCACAAUCAAAAACUCAACGGUAAUAUCCUUUAACAGCACUAAGCAAGCACUCUUUAAAAACGGAGUGGUAACCAUACCACUGGUCAUAGACCUAAUAUACCCCUACAAAGUUUGCAACGAAGUAUACCACAGUUCGGUACUCGCUGGUAUGUUCAGGUCUGCGGGAAGCCCAACUCAAAGCAGGAAUUACGAGGCAAGGAGCCGCCAAAAACGCGCAAUUCCCUUGCUAGUGGCAGGCGCGGUGGCAGCUUCAUCGUCAGUGGCGACACUCGCUACCAUGCUUUGGGCAAAAUUGAGCUUUGCGGAGUUAAACGGAGAAAUCGAAAAAUUACGGCAAGAUCUCGGAGGAAGAACCAGCUACCUCGAAAAACUAACGAUCGAGAAUAAAGAGGCAAAUAUCAAAAAUUACAUAGCCAUAAGGAGGGAUCUGAAACAAAUAACGACCUUAAUGUCCGAAAACUUAUGUAAAAUACAAAAUUAUACCAGAAUUAUUCUGCUAGAGUCUCAAAUGCUAAACGAAUUCGACGAAAUUAUGGCAGCCCUCCGGACUAAAACCCUUAGCGCAAAACUCCUACCUCCGUCACAAUUACACGCAUUCAUCGACAACUCCCCUCCCUUGCACAACACCCUGUAUACCCAAGCACCCUACCUGCUGUAUUUGCUCGCCGAAGUAAGUUUCGACCUGGAAGAAAUCAAAAUGUCCGAUGGCUCCAUCCUCCGCGGAGUUAUCACAGUGCCAUUAAUCGUCAGGAACGAGAAGAUUAAUACAGAAAUUGCAGCCAAACGCUACGGAGACACAAUUAAAGUAUUCAGGCCAGUACAAGUAGCACAAGAGUCACUGCGCUCAGUCGAACGUUGCGACGAACAACCGGAUUUUUUUGUGUGCACAGAAGCCGACCUAACAGAUGUCCUCUUCAAAGAAGUAACGGACAAGAUGAUAUUUGACAAGGGAAUUGUAAUAGUGGCGCAGAACAACUCAGCAAUGGUAAAUAAAGAAGAAAACGGCGCAAAAACGCAGAUAAUUGGACCAGCGAUUUGUUCCCAAGAAAAUGCGCACUCAGUGACUUUCGAGAACAAGUUAGUCUUCACGCAUUCAAACAUGUUCCACGUGAAGCACAUAGAAUACGAGCUACACCAAGUGCCAUACGAUGUUACCCUUCAACUCAAUGACGACGAAUUGAAGCAACUACAAGAGAAGCUCGACACCCUAACGGACAACACCGAGCCAAAACAACUGGCUCAUUACACGGUCACAAUUGUAUUAGCAAUCACAACAACUUUAGCGCUAGCAUACAUCUGUAGGAAGCAACGAAGUCAAACAAGGGUUGUCAAGCAGCUGGAGCAGAAAGGAAUCGAACUGAACGAGAUUCUGGUCGUAGAGGAGGGGAAUGCGGGAAGUAGAAGAGGGCGCCUAGUCAGAGCCUAG